UGCAGUGAUACAACCUUGGGCUCUGAGCUCAUCAGAUCUCACAAAUUAAGCAGGCUGUGUCUGGCUAAUACUUGGAAAAGAGACCUCCAGAGAAAUCCCAGGGUAUUGCUGCAU
RNAcentral lists this ribosomal RNA (114 nucleotides) under Chelonoidis abingdonii (Abingdon island giant tortoise). Lineage: Eukaryota; Metazoa; Chordata; Testudines; Testudinidae. The record is from RNAcentral.